UACGGGGGGUGCAAACGUUGCUCGGAAUUAUUGGGCGUAAAGCGCGCGUAGGCGGCUACCUAAGUCGGAUGUGAAAGCCCCUGGCUCAACUGGGGAAGUGCACCCGAAACUGAGUAGCUAGAGUACGAAAGAGGGUCGCGGAAUUCCCGGUGUAGAGGUGAAAUUCGUAGAUAUCGGGAGGAACACCGGUGGCGAAGGCGGCGACCUGGGUCGAUACUGACGCUGAGGCGCGAAAGCGUGGGGAGCAAACAGG
This 253-nucleotide ribosomal RNA is filed under the name uncultured bacterium. RNAcentral describes it as "partial 16S ribosomal RNA". It matches the Rfam family "Bacterial small subunit ribosomal RNA", at positions 524 to 776 of the family's 1533-position model. The record is from RNAcentral.